UACGUAGGGAGCAAGCGUUGUCCGGAAUCAUUGGGCGUAAAGCGCGCGUAGGUGGCUUCGUAAGUCCGUUGUGAAAGUCAAAGGCUCAACCUUUGAAAGCCGAUGGAUACUGCGGAGCUAGAGUACGGAAGAGGCGAGUGGAAUUCCUGGUGUAGCGGUGGAAUGCGCAGAUAUCAGGAGGAACACCGGUGGCGAAGGCGGUUCUCUGGGCAUUACCUGACGCUGAGGAGCGAAAGUGUGGGAAGCGAACAGG
RNAcentral lists this ribosomal RNA (253 nucleotides) under uncultured bacterium. Its description in RNAcentral is "partial 16S ribosomal RNA". It matches the Rfam family "Bacterial small subunit ribosomal RNA", at positions 524 to 776 of the family's 1533-position model. The record is from RNAcentral.